Mauremys mutica (yellowpond turtle) is the source of this 10253-nucleotide long non-coding RNA. RefSeq lists it as uncharacterized. The record is from RefSeq and is a predicted model, not a curated record. The transcript has 2 exons. Lineage: Eukaryota; Metazoa; Chordata; Testudines; Geoemydidae.
AACAGGUUGGACAAACACCUGUCAGGGAUGUUCUAGGUUUACUUGGUCCUGUCUCAGCGCAGGGGGCUGGACUUGAUGACUUCUCAAGGUCUCUUCCAGCUCUACAUUUCUAUGAGUUUGUGAUAUUCCUUCUUAUAACCCUGGGAAAAAUCACUUGCUAAUAGUGAAAUGUACUGUAUCCUAGCAGGCUGAGGCUCUUCUGUUAGUCACCGCUAAUAUUCUCUGGUACAGCAUAACAGAAUGGUGAAUAAUUUAAAAAAACAACCCAUCCAUUGAGUCUAAAAUGGUGGUUUCACUUAAAUGUAAUGGCUGAAAUUGACAUACAAUAAUGAGUCCUAGAUUCCUGACACUAGGUCUCUGUUUUACAAAACUGAGAAAUAUGAGUUGCUGUUUACCAAGAGCCCAGUGCGCUUAUGGUAAUUGUCUGAAGUAUAGCUGUUAAAAUGUUCUGCUCAUUACACUAGUCCUCCCAGUAAAAGAACCCACAUACAUGACCCUUCUCCUCAGCAGAAGUUAAAAUCUCCAUUAUUUGACUUGUACUAACAAAAAAAUUGAUUCCAAAUAGUAUAUUGAAUGCGUUAAUGAAGGAUUUACUGCAAAAAGAGAAUAUUUCCCUGCAGCAGGGGCCGAAUAUCCAAAUAUAUUUUUGAUAAAUACAAUUUCAAAUAAAAAAGCCUUCUUAACUUAUAUUUAAAGACAUCAUUUGUUUGUUUGUUUUUCCCCUUUCUGGAAUGGUAUUUAUUCUCCACCCUCUCCAAAUCCUGUUCUCCUAUUGACUGAGUCUGCAUUGCCCUGUUUUGCAUUUGGUCAAAAAAUGCAUCAUUAGGUUUUAUUUUUUUUUCCUGUUAUGAAAUUUUUUAUCAAAAAACAUCCUCCAACCCAAUCACCCCACUCCCCAAAAACCUUUCCCUUCCUUUUUUUGAGCAAGGAACGUAAAUGUCCAUGGCAAAAGUGGUCUACUUCUAAUGAGUUAUAGCUAGGUUUCUGUGUGCUUCCAGAAAUCCAUGAGGUGCUGUCCUAAGAUGCACAGAGACACUGCUAAGCAGAAUUAUUGCUGGGAUCUUAUAUAGUGGGGGUGCGUGUUUGCUCACAUAUUUGUGCCAUUAGUUGACCAUUUGCACUAAAAGUGAUGUGGGAUUUUUAUUUUUUCUGUCUCAUAGCUUUUGUGUAAGCUUCUUGUUAAAGGAUAGUUUUCUUUGGUUCCUCCCCACAUAAUUGCAAGGCUAUCUUGCAUCUCCAUUUACAAUGUUCAUGAACAUUUAAGCCAGAUGUUACGUGUUACUCCCAAAGUCUGCUUAUGUCAGAUUGCUAAUGCUUUUUCAAUUAAAAAAAAAAAAGGUAGCUUUAAACAGGAGGAUACCCUAAAAGAACGUGAGUAAUUUGGGCACAGAUGAUAUGAAGUUCUUUGCUUCAAAACAGCCAAAGGUACAGUGUGAAUUGAGUACACUUUGUGCAGUUUACUUAAUCUCCUUGACAGUACUGUUAGUUCAUUGAUUGGAUCUCUAUCUAUAUCAACCUCUUGUUCAGAUGUCUCUUAUGCAUGUAAAUCCUUGUCUGUGAUGAUCUAUUUUUUUAAAACAAGAGUCACUUAAGCGUGAAGCAUCCAGUUAGGAAUUCACAGACUCCCGACUGGAUAGUUUUACAGGGAGAUAUCGCUAAAUGCUACCUUCUAUUUUUUUUAAACUACAUGUGUAUAUAGGAGAGCUUGUUUAUUAGACUUGUAAGUAGACAUUUAAAAUGGCCUUAAUUUAAAAAUAAAUAAAUAAACCCAUUUAGAUGCAAUUGUCAAAAACAAAAUGUGUGUGUGUGUGCGGGGUGGAGAUUAGGGACCAUCUAGUUAGGAGAAAUAUCUUUACUUUGUGUUUCUUUUCUGGAAGGUGUAAGAGAAGAGGUGGUGAUGGGAGAAGGGGAUGAUGGAUGUGUAUGAAAGAAUGUGAUUCAUCUCUCUAGCCCCAGUAGGGGGGCAGGCUAGCUGCUUUCAUUUUUAACCCUUUGAGAAUCAGAGCAGUUGUUUUAAUACAGUGUCAGUAACAUUUCAAUAGUUUCUGCACUUUGCUCCCUGGGAGAGUGGCCCAUUGAUAGCAGCAUGUGUGCCCUAUUCUAGUAGAAAAAUAUUUUCCCAUACCCUUUACAUCUGAUUUUUUUUUAACAGUUGUAUAUGAGUUUACAUUAUUUUAAACAAUAAAUGUUUAAAGUUUUCGAGUUCAGACACAGGGUGGAUCCCCCCAAUGCUUUCAGAACGUAAGUAGAUUUCUAUUUCAUUUUAAAGUUAAGUAGUACCUUUUGCAUUUUCUACUCUGCUUAUGAGGGUGGUAGAUGUGGAAAAGCAUUGGCCAUUAGAAUAAAGGAACUGAUGAUGCUUACAGAGAUACUUGUGGGAAGAGGGGAGGAAAGGACAUUGCUUGGGGAAAAAUAAGAUGAAAAAAUUGAAAGUAUUAAAUUAGAUUUAAUUGUUUUUUAAACAGUCUCAUGUCUCAAAGGGUUAAUGUCCAAACAUACCUGCUGAUGGAUUUCUGUAGAGCUAUGUUUUUAUACGAAUUUUCCACGACAGACUGUUGCAUUUGCCAAUACUUUGGGGAAGUAAUAGGAAUAAACUCUCAAUGUAUAAAGUACUGUGAUUUAAAAAGAAAAGUGGAUUUCUGCUAUUUAUUGCAGCUUAAGUGGUGGGGGGGACGGGAGAAGCUCUUUUGCAUUGUAUAUAGUACUGAUUUCUGCAUUCUCUUUAAAAAUGGAUCUGCACAGGCCAAGUUAUGGUAGGUCUGUAUGCUGCAUGCAUGGUUGAGCGCAGGCAACAUCAAACAUGUCUGUCUCACUACUGCUUUUGCAUGUUAGUGAACACUUUGCGAGCAUUCUUUAACGUGCAAAAACCUUUCCUGUACAGAGAGAACCUUUGCUUAAAAAAAAGGUGGAAAGAAAGAUGUUGACUUUUAAUUAUGGAAGAAACUAUUGAUAAUUUAUGUACCGUUUUUUGUUUUCCUUUAAAACAAAAAAAUUGUGCCUGAGAAUACUGGUGCAAACCCUCUUAACAAAGAUGGUUGCUUAAAACUUCCUGUUAGGUAAAUAGAGCCACCCGAAGUUUGUAAUAACUGGUACAGGAUUCUUUUUUAUUAAAUUCCACUUCAGCGUAAGGUAUGAAUUGUUGUUUUUCAAAAGCUCAGUUUCUGUAGGAAUGAUAUUUAAGACUUGUCCUUCCCUUAUUAGGAUAUUACUCAUUUUGGAAACCACCUCAGUGUAUAAUAUGGAAGAGGAAACCCCCCUCAUCGUACAGUUGGUUAAAAUGUACUCUGUGCUUUAAGGAUGAAAGCAUUUAUUACUUUGACAAACGGACCCCCUGUCACUGUGAUGGCAAUGUGAAAGAGCAAUUAGCAUUUAUUAUAUGUAUAUGUUCUCUUUUUAAAAAAGGAAAAACUUUGUAGUGUUCCUGUUUGUAUUUUUAGUUGCUUACUAUUUAUACUGCACAGUGUAGGCAUGGAUUGCAUGUCAGUUUUCUAUGCGGGCACCAUGAUGACAUUACGAUAACUGUGUAUUAUAAAUCAUUUUUACCUUUUUAAACAGAAUCAUUGUGUGGAAUUUCUAUACUGCAAAACAAAACACUACAUUAAGUACUAUAUUCAUUUGUGUUAUUUAUUUUUUUGUGGGUGGGAGGGGGUGGUUUUAACUGUGGUGUAUAUUGCCUUAUAUGUGGGCUUGAUCGACUUUAUCAAAAUAAAGGCAUAAAGGGGUAAAUAUGCUUUACUGUUUUAUUCAGUAAUACAAUGUGGGGCUGCCACAGAGGUAGCUGCAGAAAAGUAUAUUGUACAAGCAUAGAAUGAAAGCAAAUAUAUCGUAUAUAAGUCUUUAUAGGACAGGAAAUCCAGCUAUGUAGUAUAGAUUACAAAUAGUGAGGAGGCUUAAAGUCCUGUGAGCAAUUAAUAAUCUCCAUACAAAAACUUUUAUGCCAAUCAUUUUGUAGUGAGUAUUAUCAAAGCCCAUUCUAACCUGUUCCAGCACACCUAAUGUACAUUCUACAGUUGUUUGAAGAAACUCAAUCCAGUAAAAGUUUUGAUUUGGACACGCCCUAAGAAAUCUAUUCUCCUGCACUCUGUUGGUUGCAGGAACUUGACAAACGGUAUGGUUACCUGCCUUUGCCAGAGGUUGUUGCGUUUUCUGAGUUUGGAGUCUCAAGGAUACAUUGGAGCUGUGCAUUGUGCUGUGGGUUUCUGAAGGCUGCAGACAAGUCAGGCAAUAAGGAUUAUCACAGAACAUAAAAGGUAUAUUUUAAAAGAAGAGAGCAAGAGAACAGGAAGAACUGCUGUUUGAGGCUGUAAUUCAGUUUGUGUGUGGUCUAUAUUCGCAAAUUACAGAGCAAAAUAUUAACCAGGGGCUUGUGUAUUUAAAAACUGGACCAGAAAAUUGUCCCUAAUACAAGACUUCUGGUAAUAGUGUUCUUCCUAUGUGGUAGUUUGACCUCUCCCAAACCUUUUCAGUCUGCAUUCACUCCAUUGUGUACCAAAAGGCACCUAGCAGCCGCUACAGGAAAGGUGGUAGGUAUAGUUAGCUUGGCAGAGAUGAAUUACAAGUAACAAAUAUAAGGAGGCACGUUUAAAGCCACAGAAUUUCUCUGUUCUGUCCUCAGCUUUCAAAUGCACCUAGAAUCUAUUGGACUCCAUUGUGUUUCUUUUCCCCUUGAAGUCGCACUGCAAGAAUGUACAAAGCUCUGGGGAGAGUACACAUGAGCAAGCAGGUAGAGCAGAACCUUGGCUUGAGGGGCCCACGCCAUUGUGGUGUAAUCUAUGAUAAAGGCUGUCAUGUUUUCAGAUUUCUUUGCAAUGGAGUAGUGGAUUUUUCUUCUAAUUUUGUGUCCCUCUAAUUUUCAAUACCAAAAAAUUAGUUUACGUGCAUUUAUUGAUGCUUUCUCGACGCAAGUAGGGUGAAGAGCCUGCCUACUCGAUGCCUGGGUUCUCCUAGAUGGGCUGGGUAAUACCAGUUCGGAGGUAUGAGUCGCAGGUCCUGCAGCCUAAUAUGGUCAGUGCAAUAAAAUCAUGGAUUGAACAGUUGGUCUAUUUGUUGUGUAAGGCUGAAUUUGCGCUAAAUGUAAUCUAUAAGGGGACUUCAUAGAGCUGGACUAGUUGUGCUGCUCUGGUGGAGCAUAUUUUAGUUGUGAGCACUGGCCAUGUGUCACGAAUUACUAACAGCUGCGUGCUGUAGGUGCCUUUACUCCAGUUACUGUGGAAUAAUUGUGGUUCAUAUAUGGCUUUACUCUUGUGUUGGAUCGGGAAAGGAAUGUGCCAUUGAAUUAGUACUCGGACCACAGCUACAACAAUAUCUGCAGCAGUGUCUCUUGUCUUGGCUCCAAGAAAGGCACCUAGCAGACGCUACAGGAAAGGUGGUAGGUGUAGUUAGCUUGGCGGAGAUGAAUUACAAGUAACAACUCUCCAGGUUUGCUCAAGCUAUUACAGCCAAAUAUUGCUAACUUCUUAUGGGGGAUAUUUUUAAAGGCACGAAAGGGUAUUAGUCACCCAGCUGCCAUUGAAAGUCAGUGGGAGUUGAGUGUCCCGUUUGCAUUUGUAAAACUCCCCUUAGAUGCAUAGUGACACAGUAAUUGGGUGCUAGUAAUUAAAACCAGAGCGGUUUUUAAUGUAAAGUGUAAUAGCAAAGUUUCAUAAUGUAAAUCCCUUAACUAGAGAGCAGUCCUAUUCGUGCCAUUUACUUCUUAUGUUCCAAUGUCUGCUGAAAGGAAUGCUGGCCAUCUCCUCAGUACUAGCUUAAUUACGCUGUUGCUUUUUUCAGAUUGUACGUCAGGUAAAUGAGGGAGAGAGACGUGCAUAAAUAGAUUUGAUUUAAUUUUAGCUUGACUCUUUUUUCGCUGGAACACUGGAUUGUAUAUUAAAUAGCUACAGGAGAAUGGGACAAAUUAUGUCUUUGGAAUUUCUGACUUGUAGUUUCCACCUGCCGGAGAAUCAGACAGAUGAUGUAAUCUUAAUGUUUACUGGUAUCUCUGAAGAUCCUGUUUUCUGUUAAAUGCAUUUUAAUCUGGUACAUGGCUUAGCAUUAAUGCAGCAUCAUGAUUCAGCGGAGAAAACAUCUGUGGUGAGAUCUUCUCUGUAAAAACAAAAACAUAAAACCUUGACAUCUCUUAGCCAGUCUCCAGCAAUCUGCUGGGAAGCCACGUGUCCUGUUAAGUAGUGUGCAGGUUAGCAGUGUCAGCUGUGCUGAGCUGGCAAUAAUUGCCUUGUUUGGGGGUGUUUUGCAUUUGUUGUCAGAGUCCCAAUCCAAUUCACAGUCAUUGUCUUAAGGGCUUUUGUGUGUUCUGGCUGCAGCUGACUGUGGAGCAUCUGCACUGAGAUAUGCCCAGAUAGGGCCAGGGUACUUGCUGAACAGAUCUGCUAGAUCACUCAGUAGCGAAGCCCUUAGAUGGUAGGUAUCUGAGAGAAGAGGUUUCAAAAUAUAACAAUCCCUCUCACCCAACAAUGUGAUUGAGGGAAAUUAACAUCUCUGCUGCUGCUGCUAUUUCAAUGUCUGGUUUAUCCAGUUCCACAGCUGCAUAUUGGUCAUUUUAUGAAAGCUGUUGGCAAUUGAAAGGUUUACAUCCUCUUUUGGAAGGAAAGUUGAAUGCUGGAGAACACAGCAGAACACUGAAGCUGUUUCACUGUGAACAGAUCUGGCUUGCCCUGACUAAUGAGAACUUGCAGUAGCUAAUGUGAUAGUGGCAAAACUUUUAAUAAUUAGAACAAGAACCAAACACCUCUUCUGGAGCUAGCAACAACUAUCAGAGGACAGUGUUAACUAUUUUACUUCUUAAUUUUGCUUUCCUGCACUCAUUAUAAUUUACAAAUUUUUACUACUUUAAUGUGUUGAGGGUGUUGCAUAUUUCUUUGUAGUUAAAAUAUACAGCGAGGGGUGUGAAUCAGAGGAAGACAGCUCUAUGAACUGGCUUUAGGACAAAAACUAAUCACAAACCAGAUUAUAUGGCCAAAACAUGGUACAUACAGGAGCUGUGCAUGGGAAUAUGCCAAGGGUAGGGGUAGUCCGAGCUUCUCAAAACACUCCCUUCAAACAUUAGGAAGCUGGAGUCCAGUAAUUGCAGUCUUUGCCUUGGAGAGAGAAUGAGUUUGCAUUUUAUAAGUCUCUAAUUCUGCAGGUUUUGUUUUAAAUGAGCGCUGGAUUUUGAACGUGUGCAGUGCUUGGAAAUCUAAACUAAAACCAGCUGACUCAGAAAGCUAAUUAUCUGUUUCAAAUGGUUUAGCUCUCAACUAGCAAUUUUAGAUUUGUCUGUGCAGAGAGGAGCAUUUUUCUGAGCGGGGGUGCUGGGAUUCCUCCCUCUCCAUGAAGUAGAUGUCUCCUACACUGCCUGAUUGUAAAUCAGGAGUGGGCUGCAGAGCCUGGCACAUUAGCAUAAAUCCUCUGGAAGAACUGAGAGUGCUCAUUAUGAGUUAAAGAAGGCCUCCCACUCAUACAUCCACCUUGCCGGCUUGUCAGGCUGGGAAGUUGCUUUAUACCUAUAAAAUCUGGCAUGCAAACUUUGUGGCUAGUGGGUGUUGGAAAGUGUCAUAGUCCCAGCAAUUCCAACUCCUGUUCAGCAGAGUAUUAGUAAAUGAAGUGAAUUUGUUUAAAAAUUCUAUUUGGAAUACAGAAUCCUCUCCAUUCUGUUGUCAGCACUCUUAGAAUUGAACAGUUCUCAUCAUGGAAUCUGCUGUGGGAUAGAACAUAUGCAACACAUCUGCAGUACCCAGAAGUUAGAAAGGAUCCCAAUGCCAUGUGGGGGAUAGGAUGCUUGGAUCUGAGCUGUGAACCUUGCUGCUGUGUCCAGAGUUUCUUCCUCUCCAGCAUAGUCUAAGGCUUUUGUACAAGGCUCCUAAAAUCAGAUGUGCAAAUGUGAACAAAACCAGCUGGUGAUUAUACUGAAGAAAAUGCAGAUCUUAGAAUCACAGAAAAGAGCAAUGGUAAAGGCCUCUUGGGUUUUUCCACCCUAAGCUCCUUGGGGCAGCCGAUGUCUCAUUUUGUGCCUUGUAAGGUGCUGUGUCUGUUAUCAACUCUUAAUAGUGAGUCCCCUUUGCUAAUGCAGGAUUCUUCCCUACAUUAUGGUCGUCAGUAGCGUAAUGUAGGGACCCUACAUAGCAUAGUGCAAUAACCCUAACCUCUUCCAUUUGGAGAUUAUCUUGAAGCCAAGAAAAAGGAGAGCACUGAUUUGGGUCAUCUUGCUUUGAGACUGCUGCUAUAAAGCACCAUGCCAUGUCAGUUGAAUCAAAUACAAAUUGCUUGACUAUGAGCCUUUUAAAAAACUCACUCAUGUGGAUGUUUAAUGUUAAAAAACAUUCUCCAACAUUAUAUAUUAGAAAAGGCACACCUACUGAAUUCUGUCAAAGGGAACUCAUUUCUGCAAGCCCUAAUUAUAGAGUAAACUUGAAACAAAGCCUUUGUUUUUUUCAUAAUUGCAGUUAUGAUUUUUCAAUAUCAACAUAUAAAGCUACAGAAAAAGAUGUUUAUGGGGAAGAUGGUGGUAUGAAAGGGAAGUCUCCAUCCUACCUGUUGGUAGAGUGUCGUUUUUUACCAUGUGUAAGUUUGCUAAUGUAUGUUUUAAAAAGAUCAGCCUGAGAUGUGUGCCGAUUCAUGUGACCUUUAUUUAUUUUUAAUAAACUUGUGACACAAGUUGUUUCCUGAAAAGCUUAAAUUGUCGCAAUUGAGAGUAAAUGACAAGAGAAGUGGGUUUCCUUAGAUGGCAGGAGUUUUAUAUAUGUAAUGAAUCUUAGCUAAAUCUGUGGAAGUAGGGUCAGGCUCAUUGGCCAGUUUGAAGGCAGUCUGAUCUAUCUUGGAUCACUUUGGAAAGCAAAGUAUCAAACAAUUUACUGAAAGGCUGUUGUACCUUCUGCUGGUUUUCAUUAGAAAUGUGUCUGCUUUCAGAUGCUCCCUCUUACUGUCUUCUAAACUGUUGUAUUUAUACAAUAAAUGAAGUGUAAGGUUCAUUUGUACAUGUCCUAUGGACUAGUCAAUCCAAUCUUUUUAUACUGUGGCUUAGAAAAAAAGAUGGAAGGUGUUUCUUUUUAUAAACCUAGUAUAGGGACUCAUUCCUGCAACCGUAAUAAUGGUGUGUCAGUAUCUACAUGAGACAUUUUAGGGGCUUAUAACUUGGACACAGAAAUUAACUCUGGUUUGAAAUUUACCAGACAUGCGGAAAAUUAUUUAUUAAAAUCUGUUCUGGGUAUUUGGUAGUAAAGAAAAAGAAAACUAGUAGUUGUCUUUAUGCUUUACAUAAUGCCACAAGAGUCUCAGUUGGAGAGGAGAAGGUAGUCAGUCAUCCAGCCUAAUCAUUGGCCUAAUUGUUGGAAUCUGGAAGAAAAUUAAACAGACAUAAGGAAGAUAAGCAGGUAGAAAAAUCUUUCUUUACUUGCAGAAUAGAAGAUAAAUAUAAGUAUUGUGUAUAUAUAGUAUUUAUGGGACAAAGUAUUGAGGGAGAUAGGACUCAUUUAAACAAAUCUUUCUUUACUUACUGGAUCCUAAAUAUUUAUGGCACAAGCCUUUACAAGCCUAGAUGAUACAUGGUGGGUGGGGGUGGGGGUGUGUGUGUGUAUAAAAUACACAUCCAGAUACUGUUUGGUCAGCAUUAUAAAGCAUAGCAAUUAAAAAUACUGUAUUUCAAUCAGUUCUAAGUCAAAGAUCAGUAGAUAUUAGGGUUUUGUUUUCUUUGGGAGGGAAUUGGAAGUUGUCAUUUUUGUUUUUAUCUGAGUGGGGUCCCCAUCUUUGAUUGGAUUCCUUUAAAAGAACUGCAAAUCAAAUGCAAUAGGAAAGUACUUAUGAAGGGGAAGGUUUGAUUUCAGUAAAGUUAAAUCCAGCUGCUUCUGGCAGCUUCUCUCACAGACUGGCAGCUAAAAACAACUUCAUGUAGUUUACCGAGUUUGGGGGAAAACGUGUUGGAUUUAUGUAUUUUCAGAGACAGUAUAAUAUACUGUUCUUUACAAGCUAAACUUUUCUAUCAAAAUAACUUGUGGAUUAUUUCACUGAUAUAUGCAAAUCCUAUAUUCAGCUACAGCUUUGGUGACCCAGGAACUCUGGAGAAAUUGUCCCUGUGACAUAGAAGUUUAAUUUAUUGUGCUUUUCUGUAGGUAAAGUGGAAAACUGAAGUUGGCUUUAAGUGUUUGCAAUCUGAGAAAUGAUGUGAAAAAGCAGCUCAACUAAAUGUAUAUUCUUUUCAAUCCUUUUUUGUGUGAAGGCUUUUGUCUUUGUAUCUUUGCAUUAUUUGUAAAUGAAAUGUAAUAAAGUUCAAAUGUUUUUUCGUC